RNAcentral lists this ribosomal RNA (893 nucleotides) under uncultured bacterium. RNAcentral describes it as "bacterial SSU rRNA". It matches the Rfam family "Bacterial small subunit ribosomal RNA", at positions 34 to 922 of the family's 1533-position model. The record is from RNAcentral.
CGCUAGCGAUAGGCCUAACACAUGCAAGUCGAGGGGCAGCAUAGGGUAGCAAUACUUUGAUGGCGACCGGCGCACGGGUGAGUAACGCGUAUGCAACCUACCUAUAACAGGGGAAUAAGCCCGGAGAAAUUCGGACUAAUACCGCAUAAAACAGGGGCUCCGCAUGGUGAUAUUUGUUAAAGAUUUAUCGGUUAUAGAUGGGCAUGCGUUCCAUUAGCCAGUUGGUGAGGUAACGGCUCACCAAAGCAACGAUGGAUAGGGGUUCUGAGAGGUUUGUCCCCCACACUGGAACUGAGACACGGACCAGACUCCUACGGGAGGCAGCAGUGAGGAAUAUUGGUCAAUGGGCGAGAGCCUGAACCAGCCAAAUCGCGUGAAGGAAGACUGCCUUAUGGGUUGUAAACUUCUUUUAUACAGGAAUAAAAAGAUUACGUGUAACUUAUUGCAAGUACAGUACGAAUAAGCAUCGGCUAACUCCGUGCCAGCAGCCGCGGUAAUACGGAGGAUGCGAGCGUUAUCCGGAUUUAUUGGGUUUAAAGGGUGCGCAGGCGGGAACUUAAGUCAGCGGUGAAAUCUCGACGCUUAACGUCGAAACUGCCGUUGAAACUGGGUUUCUUGAGUAUAGAUGAAGUAGGCGGAAUUCGUUGUGUAGCGGUGACAUGCUUAGAUAUAACGAGGAACUCCGAUUGCGUAGGCAGCUUACUAAGCUAUAACUGACGCUGAAGCACGAAAGCGUGGGGAUCAAACAGGAUUAGAUACCCUGGUAGUCCACGCCGUAAACGAUGAUUACUAGUUGUAUGCGAUAUACCGUAUGUGACUAAGCGAAAGCGAUAAGUAAUCCACCUGGGGAGUACGCCGGCAACGGUGAAACUCAAAGGAAUUGACGGGGGCCC